AGUUGGCUUUAGUCAUAGGUGGAUAACGUCCGUCUCUGGUCUACCUCAAGCUACAGAGCUGCUUCCCCUGCUUCAACCGGUCUGUGAUAGAGCAAGGAGACCGAGGUACCCAGUACCGACGCAUUGGAAUCGGGAUUUUACACUGGGCUUAAAAAAUCGGACGGACGCACGGUUCCGCGGGCAGGCCCCAGCCCGGAGCCACGCGGACCGGAGGGUGGGGUUGCCCACCAACUCUCCACACUGCAACUUACCGGGCAGGGGCGAGAUUCCAGCGACCGCCCCUCGCCCGCCGCCGGAAACCCCUGUCUCCCACCUGGUCCCUGCGCGGCCUGCGGACCAACGAGGUACGCGCCGUGAAGUACUGCUCGAGCUCCGAGUCUGAGUCCUCUUGGCUGCAGUAGCCACUGCUUGUCGUGCUGCUCCAGGUCAUCUCGAAAGAAGGCGUUUCCGCCUCACCCAUCGCCGCGCCCGCCGAAUCCCCUAGUCCUGUAGGUCGGUAGCCUACUAACCACCGCCCGAGGCGCGUGCGUGCGUGUUAUCAGUGUGCGCUUGCGCCGGGGCCAGCGCCGCGUCGCAACCGUUAAGACUAAAAUGUCUACAGCCCGGAUCUAGCUCUUGUCUCAUUGGGGGACUAACUCUGAGGGGCGGGGACAAACGCGCUGAACCUCCAGGAAUGACCUCAUUGCCCAAGCAGCUCAACCCAGCUCCGCCUCGCAGGCCCCACCUGCCAGAGGGGACGUGUUGCAGCGUGUGCGCAUGUGCAGCAACUCCACCUAAGGACUGGAAGAGGUUGUGGGAAGUGCGCGUGCGCCUGGCGCGGGACCGCUUGUGUAGCAUCCUGGGGCAGUCGGCCAAGCCAGCGCGCAGAAUUGGCCACUCUGCUGUCGGAAAAUCGGUUAUUAGAACGAUUACUGAGCCAGGACCCAUGCUGUUCUCCAACGUCUGCGCUGUAGCCUGCCAGUCCGCGCGUCUCCCCCACCCCACCCCGGACGGCCUGGAGACUUCUCUCACCACGUUAGUGUCAUGUUCUAGCGCGGGUUCCCAGCCCAGGUCUCGGGGUCCGCAGCAGUCCAAGCAGACGAGAGCGCGGCAGCGGUAAUGGCAGGGAGGGCACCAGGCCAGAGGGAAGAGCAGGCACCCAGUUGUUCCUGAGGGAUAGGAUGGGUGAAGACUGGAAUGCUGCCUGCGAUUUUUGGGUACCUUCCCAUAGGUGACCAGCAGUUCCUGGAUGGGCUCUCCCUGGCUGACAGUGGCAUCAAGGAUGGCUUGCAUGUUCAGCUUCUCCAGGUUCUCGUGCUGCUGGUUCCACCUGUUCCAGAGGGCCCAAGCUUCCCGCAUUCAAGGACCUGGUGACUCCGCCUAAGUCAGCUGCCUCACCCUUCAGAGCCCAUCUCGCGCAGCGGGAAACUGCGCAAACCUCGCACCAGUACGUCAGCCUCUCCGGGCAGCAGCAGCUCCAGGUCGCCCAUGUUGGGGCCAGGAUUUGACUGACUUCGGGCAGCGGUUGGGGCGGAGGAGAUGACGCACUUUGGAAGGACAGACUCCUGCGAGACUGAAGUCUGGGACCGGACAGUUGCCUGUCGGUUGGGGCGCGUGGGUCCUCGCCGCCAUGGAAACAGCUCGGCGUCUGCGCAGUGAGGCCUGGGCCCACCCCUGUGGGCGGCUCGCGCCGUCUGGGGCCGCCCCCAGCCUGCCACGCCUACCCUAACAGUAACCCAAUUGCGAUUGUCAAAGCUUUCUCUCUCAUAACCAGGUGCGUCCACGAAGUCUCUCCUGAACUCUACCGACUCUUCCCGAAUGUUAAGUUAGCCUGUGACUCCUGUCAGCUCCUCCUGCAGCUGGGCCGUCUUGAUCCUCCCGGAUGUUCCUCUUCAUGACUUCCUCCUUAUCUUAUUUCUUGAGCCCAGCAUCACCAAUUGGAUCUACUCCCUAAGUACUGCCUAGGACUCACAGCUUCUCUCCAUUCUAUUUCAGACUGCCAUUACUUCAAUGCGGAUAGCUGCAGUAACCUUUUCACUAGAUCUACUUCCACUCUGUAGCCUUCCCAGCAGCAAGGAAUCUUAAAAGUGUACAUCAGAUAUUACUCCUUUGCAGGAGGGCAGUUCUGUGGUUGUCUCUGGUCUUCAAAAUACUGGGUCAGGGGCUGGGGUUGUGGCUCAGUGGUAGAGCGCUUACCUAGCACGUGUGAGGCACUGGGUUUGAUCCUCAGUACCACUAAAACUAAAUAAAUAAAAAUAAAGG
Molecule: long non-coding RNA, 2241 nt
Organism: Sciurus carolinensis (gray squirrel)
Lineage: Eukaryota; Metazoa; Chordata; Mammalia; Rodentia; Sciuridae
Exons: 3
Source: RefSeq, a predicted model, not a curated record